This 253-nucleotide ribosomal RNA is filed under the name uncultured bacterium. RNAcentral's name for it is "partial 16S ribosomal RNA". It matches the Rfam family "Bacterial small subunit ribosomal RNA", at positions 524 to 776 of the family's 1533-position model. The record is from RNAcentral.
UACAGAGGUCCCGAGCGUUGUUCGGAAUUACUGGGCGUAAAGGGCUUGUAGGUGGCCAACUAAGUCACACGUGAAAUCCCCAGGCUUAACCUGGGAACUGCGUGUGAUACUGGAUGGCUUGAAUCCGGGAGAGGGAUGCGGAAUUCCAGGUGUAGCGGUGAAAUGCGUAGAUAUCUGGAGGAACACCGGUGGCGAAGGCGGCAUCCUGGACCGGUAUUGACACUGAAAAGCGAAAGCCAGGGGAGCAAACGGG